Molecule: ribosomal RNA, 467 nt
Filed under: uncultured bacterium
Lineage: Bacteria
Description: partial 16S ribosomal RNA
Rfam family: Bacterial small subunit ribosomal RNA
Source: RNAcentral
GAUGAACGCUGACAGAAUGCUUAACACAUGCAAGUCAACUUGAAUUUGGGUUUUUAACUUAGGUUUGGGUGGCGGACGGGUGAGUAACGCGUAAAGAACUUGCCUCACAGCUAGGGACAACAUUUGGAAACGAAUGCUAAUACCUAAUAUUAUGAUAAUAGGGCAUCCUAUAAUUAUGAAAGCUAUAAGCGCUGUGAGAGAGCUUUGCGUCCCAUUAGCUAGUUGGAGAGGUAACGGCUCACCAAGGCGAUGAUGGGUAGCCGGCCUGAGAGGGUGAUCGGCCACAAGGGGACUGAGACACGGCCCUUACUCCUACGGGAGGCAGCAGUGGGGAAUAUUGGACAAUGGACCGAGAGUCUGAUCCAGCAAUUCUGUGUGCACGAUGAAGUUUUUCGGAAUGUAAAGUGCUUUCAGUUGGGAAGAAACAAAUGACGGUACCAACAGAAGAAGUGACGGCUAAAUACGUA